CUCAUUUGUAGGGAUGUGCUUUUCAUGUCAUUUUAUGGAGCAUUACACUAUCUGGAAUAUUGUGCUUUAAACUGAAAAGUGUUUGUGUGUGAGUGACUUUUUGUGGAUGGAUGAACAGAAGAAGUUUUCAGCAGAGAGGAAUCUUUGUUUGCAGAGGCAGAAGCCUGCAGCCUUGUUGACAUGCUCCUGUGGCCACUGUGAACUGGAGACAGUUUAUGGAAGGAUGGCUUUGUACGUGGGAAGGGAGAAAAGUGAAAGAUACUAAGGAACUCAGUUGCUUGGAGACCUGCAUCUUUCUACCUGUGCUCAAAACAGUGUGAGUUCAAGCUGACAAAAAACAACUGCUCCAGCCCAAUUCAGUGGAAUUUUUCGACUUUCCUUCUCCAAACCCAUUGCUGCUGGAUGAAGCAUGUGGUGAGUUCCAUUUUAAAUACUGAGUUGAACUUUUGCAGAGAGUUUCAUGUUGCAAGAGUCAUGUUAAC
This 482-nucleotide long non-coding RNA is filed under the name Zonotrichia albicollis (white-throated sparrow). RNAcentral's name for it is "lncRNA (ENSZALG00000004957.1)". The record is from RNAcentral. Lineage: Eukaryota; Metazoa; Chordata; Aves; Passeriformes; Passerellidae.